Molecule: ribosomal RNA, 431 nt
Filed under: uncultured bacterium
Lineage: Bacteria
Description: bacterial SSU rRNA
Rfam family: Bacterial small subunit ribosomal RNA
Source: RNAcentral
AACGAACGCUGGCGGCAGGCUUAACACAUGCAAGUCGAGCGCCCCGCAAGGGGAGCGGCAGACGGGUGAGUAACGCGUGGGAAUCUACCUAGUUCUACGGAACAACUCAGGGAAACUUGAGCUAAUACCGUAUACGCCCUUCGGGGGAAAGAUUUAUCGGAAUUAGAUGAGCCCGCGUUGGAUUAGCUAGUUGGUGAGGUAAUGGCUCACCAAGGCGACGAUCCAUAGCUGGUCUGAGAGGAUGAUCAGCCACACUGGGACUGAGACACGGCCCAGACUCCUACGGGAGGCAGCAGUGGGGAAUAUUGGACAAUGGGCGCAAGCCUGAUCCAGCCAUGCCGCGUGAGUGAUGACGGCCUUAGGGUUGUAAAGCUCUUUCAACGGUGAAGAUAAUGACGGUAACCGUAGAAGAAGCCCCGGCUAACUUCGUG